AGAGUUUGAUCAUGGCUCAGCACGAACGCUGGCGGCAUGCCUAAUACAUGCAAGUCGAACGAGACCUUCGGGUCUAGUGGCGCACGGGUGCGUAACGCGUGGGAAUCUGCCCUUGGGUUCGGAAUAACUUCGGGAAACUGAAGCUAAUACCGGAUGAUGACGAAAGUCCAAAGAUUUAUCGCCCAGGGAUGAGCCCGCGUAGGAUUAGCUAGUUGGUGGGGUAAAGGCUCACCAAGGCAACGAUCCUUAGCUGGUCUGAGAGGAUGAUCAGCCACACUGGGACUGAGACACGGCCCAGACUCCUACGGGAGGCAGCAGUAGGGAAUAUUGGACAAUGGGCGAAAGCCUGAUCCAGCAAUGCCGCGUGAGUGAUGAAGGCCUUAGGGUUGUAAAGCUCUUUUACCCGAGAUGAUAAUGACAGUAUCGGGAGAAUAAGCUCCGGCUAACUCCGCGCCAGCAGCCGCGGUAAUACGGAGGGAGCUAGCGUUGUUCGGAAUUACUGGGCGUAAAGCGCACGUAGGCGGCGAUUUAAGUCAGAGGUGAAAGCCCGGGGCUCAACCCCGGAACUGCCUUUGAGACUGGAUUGCUAGAAUCUUGGAGAGGCGAGUGGAAUUCCGAGUGUAGAGGUGAAAUUCGUAGAUAUUCGGAAGAACACCAGUGGCGAAGGCGGCUCGCUGGACAAGUAUUGACGCUGAGGUGCGAAAGCGUGGGAAGCAAACAGGAUUAGAUACCCUGGUAGUCCACGCCGUAAACGAUGAUAACUAGCUGCCGGGGCACAUGGUGUUUCGGUGGCGCAGCUAACGCAUUAAGUUAUCCGCCUGGGGAGUACGGUCGCAAGAUUAAAACUCAAAGGAAUUGACGGGGGCCUGCACAAGCGGUGGAGCAUGUGGUUUAAUUCGAAGCAACGCGCAGAACCUUACCAGCGUUUGACAUCCUCAUCGCGGAUUUCAGAGAUGAUUUCCUUCAGUUCGGCUGGAUGAGUGACAGGUGCUGCAUGGCUGUCGUCAGCUCGUGUCGCGAGAUGUUGGGUUAAGUCCCGCAACGAGCGCAACCCUCGCCUUUAGUUGCCAGCAUUUAGUUGGGUACUCUAAAGGAACCGCCGGUGAUAAGCCGGAGGAAGGUGGGGAUGACGUCAAGUCCUCAUGGCCCUUACGCGCUGGGCUACACACGUGCUACAAUGGCGACUACAGUGGGCUGCAACCGUGCGAGCGGUAGCUAAUCUCCAAAAGUCGUCUCAGUUCGGAUUGUCCUCUGCAACUCGAGAGCAUGAAGGCGGAAUCGCUAGUAAUCGCGGAUCAGCAUGCCGCGGUGAAUACGUUCCCAGGCCUUGUACACACCGCCCGUCACACCAUGGGAUUUGGAUUCACCCGAAGGCACUGCGUUAACCCGCAAGGGAGACAGGUGACCACGGUGGGUUUAGAGACUGGGGUGAAGUCGUAACAAGGUAACCAAU
RNAcentral lists this ribosomal RNA (1453 nucleotides) under Sphingobium sp. RNAcentral's name for it is "bacterial SSU rRNA". It matches the Rfam family "Bacterial small subunit ribosomal RNA". The record is from RNAcentral. Lineage: Bacteria; Pseudomonadati; Pseudomonadota; Alphaproteobacteria; Sphingomonadales; Sphingobiaceae.